AUGAACGCUGGCGGCGUGCUUAACACAUGCAAGUCGAACGGAAAGGCCCAAGCUUGCUUGGGUACUCGAGUGGCGAACGGGUGAGUAACACGUGGGUGAUCUGCCCUGCACUUCGGGAUAAGCCUGGGAAACUGGGUCUAAUACCGGAUAGGACCACAUUUUGGAUGGUGUGGUGGAAAGUUUUUCGGUGUGGGAUGAGCUCGCGGCCUAUCAGCUUGUUGGUGGGGUAAUGGCCUACCAAGGCGUCGACGGGUAGCCGGCCUGAGAGGGUGUACGGCCACAUUGGGACUGAGAUACGGCCCAGACUCCUACGGGAGGCAGCAGUGGGGAAUACUGCACAAUGGGCGCAAGCCUGAUGCAGCGACGCCGCGUGGGGGAUGACGGCCUUCGGGUUGUAAACUCCUUUCGCUAGGGACGAAGCGCAAGUGACGGUACCUGGAGAAGAAGCACCGGCUAACUACGUG
This 464-nucleotide ribosomal RNA is filed under the name uncultured bacterium. Its description in RNAcentral is "partial 16S ribosomal RNA". It matches the Rfam family "Bacterial small subunit ribosomal RNA", at positions 29 to 507 of the family's 1533-position model. The record is from RNAcentral.